Molecule: ribosomal RNA, 400 nt
Filed under: uncultured bacterium
Lineage: Bacteria
Description: bacterial SSU rRNA
Rfam family: Bacterial small subunit ribosomal RNA
Source: RNAcentral
UGGGGAAUAUUGGACAAUGGGCGCAAGCCUGAUCCAGCUAUGUCGCGUGAAUGAUGAAGGUCUUAUGGAUUGUAAAGUUCUUUCAGUAGGGAUGAUAAUGACAGUACCUACAUAAGAAGCCCCGGCUAACUUCGUGCCAGCAGCCGCGGUAAUACGAAGGGGGCUAGCGUUAUUCGGAAUGAUUGGGCGUAAAGGACGCGUAGGCGGUUUUGUAAGUCUUUAGUGAAAUCCCCAGGCUUAACUUGGGAACUGCUAAAGAUACUGCGAGACUAGAGUAUGGGAGAGGUAAGUGGAAUCUUUGGUGUAGAGGUGAAAUUCUUAGAUAUCAGAGAGAACGUCGGUGGCGAAGGCGACUUACUGGAACAUAACUGACGCUGAGGCGUGAAGGCGUGGGGAGCAA